Molecule: ribosomal RNA, 363 nt
Filed under: Triticum aestivum (bread wheat)
Lineage: Eukaryota; Viridiplantae; Streptophyta; Magnoliopsida; Poales; Poaceae
Description: partial small subunit ribosomal RNA
Source: RNAcentral
AUGAAUAAAAAACAAAAUCCUUGCCGUUUGGAGCACAAAAUCAAUGGCAUACUCAAAUCACCACGUACUAUAGAUCAUACAAAAAGGAAAUACAACAAUCAUCUAUGGAGAAUUUGCCUAAAAAAAACUAUGGAGCACUCCAUGGCCGGCACGGCAAGCGAUGGCUGGUGCGGCGCGGCGUGCGAGGCGGCGGCGGGUGGUGUCGGGGCUGGCGGGGGCGAUGGGGUCGGGGCCGGGGCCGGCGGGGGCGAUGGGGUCGGAACCGGAGAGGCGCGCGAGGAGACGGGGCAGGAGAGGCGCGCGAGGAGAUGGGGUUGGAGAGGCGCGCGAGGAGACGGGGUCGGCGAGCUGCGGCUGGCCUAG